RNAcentral lists this ribosomal RNA (1533 nucleotides) under Triticum aestivum (bread wheat). RNAcentral describes it as "partial small subunit ribosomal RNA". Lineage: Eukaryota; Viridiplantae; Streptophyta; Magnoliopsida; Poales; Poaceae. The record is from RNAcentral.
AUGAAAUGUUUACAGGAGCUCAAAAGAUUCAGUGUUAAGGAAGAGAGUGUUGGAUUUGAACUGAGAGAGUUGGGGGAACUAACAGAGCUUGGAGGAGAACUCACUAUAUAUGGUCUUGAGAAGGUGGCAACAAUGGAAGAGGCUAAAGAAGCCAAGCUUGUGUGUAAAAGAGAUUUGAAAAACCUUACGUUAGAUUGUGGUACAGAUCUCCAACAUAGUGAUGUUCUCGAUGCCCUUCAGCCGCACCCUAAUCUUGAAGCACUUGUCAUUAGAAAUCAUGGUGGCACACGUGGUCCUAGUUGGUUGUGUGGUGACAUUGGCAUCAAAAUGUUGGGGUCUCUCCACCUAGAGGAUGUGUCUUGGGGCACCCUUCCACCUUUUGGGCAGCUAUUGCAUCUCACAUCACUCAAAUUGAUCAGCAUUUCUGUACUUCAUGAGAUUAGACCUGGCUUGGGUGGAGUUACGGACAAUAGCUUUGUGAAUUUGAAGAGGAUUGUUCUUCUCAGGUUACCUGAAUUUGUCGAGUGGGUUGGGGGGGCUAAUGCCCAAUCUUUCUCAAGGCUUGAAUGCAUCCGCUGCAAAGAUUGUCCCAAACUCUGUGUUGUGCCCUUCCUGGAGUGCUCUGUCUCUUAUCCCAAUCUGUCAAAUUUUGUUGUUGAUAAUUGCCCUAAGUUGUCCCUGCCCCCCAUGCCUCACACACCCACACUGACAUCUUAUAUUGUGAGAGUUGGUUCCACAAAGCUGUCUUAUGAUGAUGAGGGCUUGGUUAUUGAUGGGUAUAGUGGUGAGCUGGCCUGGGAUAACCUGCAUGAAGUAGAAAGAAUCAAUAUUAGAGAUGUGUCACACAUUCCAUUGCCGGAGCUCAGCAAACUGAAAGUCUUUAUGUAUCUUGUGAUUGAUGAGGAGUCAAGCAUGCAGUCAAUGGCUCUGCUCUCAGAGCUCACCUGUCUCACUGAUCUAAGACUGGUGGACUGUGAGAAUUUAACAGUGGAUGGAUUUAAUCCUCUUAUCACGGUCAACCUCAACUAUUUGUGUGUGUAUAACACAGGAAAUUGUCGUAGCCGCUCUAUAUCAGCGGAUCUCUUCUCGGAAUUGGUGGUAGCAAGGACCAGCCUAUCAUUGCCCGCGGGCUCCUUCCAACUGGAACAUCUUAAGGUGGAUUGCAUCUCAGCUGUGCUAGUUGCUCCCAUCUGUAGCAUCCUCGCUGCUACCCUCCGGUAUUUACGAUUCAGCUUUGAUCAGCGGGCAGAAAGCUUCACGGGAGAGGAAGAUGGAGCUCUUCAGCUCCUCACCUCCCUCUAUUACAUCAAAUUUGAGGAUUGCCCGAAUCUGCCAUGCCUUCCUCAAGUGUUACACAGCCUUCCUUCUCUUCGCAUCCUAGAUAUCGAACGUUGUCCUCAAAUCCGAUCUCUGCCCAAGGGGGGCUUCCCCACUCCGCUAACUGUAACCGUAACGGGUUGCAGUCGCGAGCUAGAAGAGCAACUCUGGAAAUUACAGGCAACAAACCCAGAUGUUGAUGUGUGCAUUUGCUAG